This 1295-nucleotide long non-coding RNA is filed under the name Sus scrofa (pig). RNAcentral describes it as "lncRNA (ENSSSCG00070027931.1)". Lineage: Eukaryota; Metazoa; Chordata; Mammalia; Artiodactyla; Suidae. The record is from RNAcentral.
CGUACAUGGAAUGUGGCUUGUCUAGGGCAACUGUAUUUGUAAAUAAAUGGCUUCCUGUUUAUUACGUUCGCUUUCCUGAGAACUCAGCCUCUGAGCACUUAUUAGAGCAAGUAUUCAACUUCUGGUUUAAUUUCCACUGUGUGGGGUGGGGUGUUUUUUGUUUUGUUUUGUGGUAUUCACUAUAAAGAAACCGGGUUAAAAUGAAUCAGUUGGGUCGGGGGGUGGUUCCUGAUCCUGAAGCAUCCAGGCUGACCAGGAGAUAACAACCUUACAAGUCCUCACUUUGGCCUAAGUGCGAGGAAGGGGGCUGGAUCCUGGGACGCUGCUGGACUCCAAUCUGGGGAGUUUCACUUUUGCCCCCCGGAUCUUUCUACUGCUGACCGCAGCCUUCUCUAGCAGCUUCAGAGGGCAAGGCGGCUAUCCUCCUGGCGGGUGGCCUGGGCACCGACCUGCCGCCUGGCAUCCCCGCUAACCCUGCAGCCGCGCUCGCCCACCGCCCGCUCAGAGUCGCCGCGCAGGGCCAGGUUCCGCCGCUCCCGGGCGGGGACCGCAACGAGGCCGGGCACACGCAGCCAACCCCAGCGUCCGUGGGGCGCCCGAGUUCCCAACCCCGGGGAGGCGGCCGGGCCUGGCGCCCGAAACUCCAACCAGCGCCGGCCUCCGGCCGCCCUGCCCCCGCUCGCGUCUCCUCUGCCAGACUCGGCGCUCGGAACAAUGCAGCGCCCGGCGCCCCAGCGGGCCUCGCUGACCCCUAAGGCCCCCCGAUCCGGACCGCCGCCCCAUGCUGGACCUUCUUCCGAGCCGUUUUCCGGGUUUUUUAACCCCUGCGUCGAUAUCAAAGGGAGAAGGAGUGAAGACAGAAGAUGGAAAAAGUGAGUGACAGCUCAGUGAGAUUAGGGGGAAAUUCAUCUACAAAAUCAUUGCUUUAUCACCCCCAAAUACUUUUUUUAAAAAGCGCAAUACAAAGGGACUUGACUAAACAGAGCCUUUUUCGUCUUGCUACUUACAACUUGAGGCAUUACACUUUCAUUUUCCCACGUUGUAAAUAUUGAUACAUUAACAUGAUAAACGUGACCGCUCUGCUGAGUGUAUCUAAGGAGUGAUGAAAAAGGAAAACCCCCAGCACCAGUAAAGAAGAUAUAGAAUCGUACUGGGGAAAGAUAGAAACACAGAAAUGUAGAAUAAGUCUGAGCUGGUCACACUGAGUGUGGACCACCAUCAGGAGUUUAGAACUACAUUCUUCCAUGAUAGGAAAAACAAAAUAAAAAACAAACAAAAAAAGCGGAAUAAUUUCA